AUGACAUCCUCAGACCCCAUUUACUGCCUUUAUUUGGAAAACAAAAUGCAUAUUACAGGUCAUACAGUCAUAAAGGUUUGGGAUUGUAUAAGGGUGAGUAGAUGAUGACAAAAUAUUCAUUUUUGAGUUUAAUAUCCCUUUAAGAGCAACUUUAAGAGUUCACUAAAUUGUUGUCUUAUGUCCUUACUCCUUACCUUUGAGACGAAAAAGGCAGAAAUGUUUGACUGAACUCCACUGACCAUCUACAAAAACAAAGUAAUGUAAGUUUCACAGCUGAUAACAUUUACAUCUACAUAGCUAGAUGAGGGUGAAUAACAAAGCCUCAGAAAUGAAUCUGAAAUACUUACGGAAGAUUUGCUGGAUUUACACUUAAUCAUCGUGGACCGUAAGUGAAUAAAAUAACAUAACUAAAAACGAUUUUUCUUCGGAGAAUCCAAUAUCACAAAGCAGCUCUACGGGUAUCAAAUCUUAAAAAACCUCUCAUAUGACUGUGACAGCUGCAUAUAAACAUAGCCACUUCUAUUACGGCUCAAAUGUAAUUGGACGGAAGCAGAUAUUCUUCAGCAGCAUUUUCACAGAUGCUUUCUCAUAAGACUAAAUUUCGCGAGAGUAAACACUGCGAUCUCAAAAUCCCCGCGUACAGAAACGCUACAGCAGGAGAAAGCAAACGUUUCGUCGUUGUUUUUAGUCUGCUGCAUUUACAUCGCUGUUCCCGACACACUGCCACCUAGCGUCAGAGAGAUCAUUGGUCGAGUUUGUAGUUGAUACACAGUUUGAAAACAAAUCUGCCCGUCAUUGUUAACACUCAGUUAGCCUUCCGUCAUAUAUGUAUAAACGAAAAACGGGCAGUUCUAUCGUCAUUUUAUAUGUAACAGGAAAUAAUUUUGUAGUUACCAAGACAACAAACAAAAGCAAUGCUACAUUUUGCCGCAAAGUUUUGAAUACCAACAUAAGCACGAGCUACCACACACACUGUAGAAGGUCUGCUGACAUGGACGCUCCAGGAGAAGAAGAACUCAAAUGUCCUGUUUGUGUAGAGACCUUUACAGACCCUGUGCGCCUUCCAUGUGGGCACAACUUCUGGUCUGGAACAUGGAUGACCCAAAAACAUCCAGAGAAGGACCACUGUUCUGUCCGGAGUGUCAGAUACUCCUUUCUCCUGAUCUUGAGCUUGAGAUCAACUCGGGUCUUCAAAGAAAAGUUCAGGAUGUCUUUGCAAGAGCACAUUUGCUGGAAGAAUCAUCUCAGAUGUCAC
Cyprinus carpio (common carp) is the source of this 1255-nucleotide long non-coding RNA. Lineage: Eukaryota; Metazoa; Chordata; Actinopteri; Cypriniformes; Cyprinidae. The record is from Ensembl.